This 532-nucleotide ribosomal RNA is filed under the name Bifidobacterium animalis subsp. lactis. RNAcentral's name for it is "bacterial SSU rRNA". It matches the Rfam family "Bacterial small subunit ribosomal RNA", at positions 167 to 701 of the family's 1533-position model. The record is from RNAcentral. Lineage: Bacteria; Bacillati; Actinomycetota; Actinomycetes; Bifidobacteriales; Bifidobacteriaceae.
UACCGGAUGCUCCGCUCCAUCGCAUGGUGGGGUGGGAAAUGCUUUUGCGGCAUGGGAUGGGGUCGCGUCCUAUCAGCUUGUUGGCGGGGUGAUGGCCCACCAAGGCGUUGACGGGUAGCCGGCCUGAGAGGGUGACCGGCCACAUUGGGACUGAGAUACGGCCCAGACUCCUACGGGAGGCAGCAGUGGGGAAUAUUGCACAAUGGGCGCAAGCCUGAUGCAGCGACGCCGCGUGCGGGAUGGAGGCCUUCGGGUUGUAAACCGCUUUUGUUCAAGGGCAAGGCACGGUUUCGGCCGUGUUGAGUGGAUUGUUCGAAUAAGCACCGGCUAACUACGUGCCAGCAGCCGCGGUAAUACGUAGGGUGCGAGCGUUAUCCGGAUUUAUUGGGCGUAAAGGGCUCGUAGGCGGUUCGUCGCGUCCGGUGUGAAAGUCCAUCGCCUAACGGUGGAUCUGCGCCGGGUACGGGCGGGCUGGAGUGCGGUAGGGGAGACUGGAAUUCCCGGUGUAACGGUGGAAUGUGUAGAUAUCGGG